Non-coding RNA from Gossypium raimondii (Peruvian cotton), 136 nucleotides. The record is from Rfam. NCBI's taxonomy places the organism in Eukaryota, Viridiplantae, Streptophyta, Magnoliopsida, Malvales, Malvaceae.
UAUUAAAAAUUUUAUCCAAUUCUAUUAUUAAAAACUGGCAUGGUAGACAGAAUAAACAAACAGUGACAAGUGAUGCGUCUCAUGCUAACGUACAGAAAUCGGUUUUUAACAAUAGAAAUGAGUAAAUUUUUUAACA